UGGGGAAUAUUGGGCAAUGGGGGCAACCCUGACCCAGCAACGCCGCGUGAAGGAAGAAGGCCUUCGGGUUGUAAACUUCUUUGACCAGGGACGAAGAACGUGACGGUACCUGGAAAACAAGCCACGGCUAACUACGUGCCAGCAGCCGCGGUAAUACGUAGGUGGCAAGCGUUGUCCGGAUUUACUGGGUGUAAAGGGCGCGUAGGCGGGACUGCAAGUCAGAUGUGAAAUGCUGGGGCUUAACCCUGGAACUGCAUUUGAAACUGUGGUUCUUGAGUAUCGGAGAGGCAGGUGGAAUUCCUAGUGUAGCGGUGAAAUGCGUAGAUAUCAGGAGGAACACCGAUGGCGAAGGCAGGUCUCUGGGCCGCAACUGACGCUGAGGAGCGAAAGCAUGGGGAGCGAACAGG
Molecule: ribosomal RNA, 407 nt
Filed under: uncultured prokaryote
Description: bacterial SSU rRNA
Rfam family: Bacterial small subunit ribosomal RNA
Source: RNAcentral